AGAGUUUGAUCCUGGCUCAGAUUGAACGCUGGCGGCGUGCCUAACACAUGCAAGUCGAACGAGAAAGUGACUUCGGUCACUGGAAAGUGGCGUCCGGGUGAGUAACACGUGGGUAAUCUACCUUCGGGUGGGGAAUAACGUCUCGAAAGAGACGCUAAUACCGCAUAAUGCAGCGGCACCUAAUGGUGAAUAGUUGUUAAAGCGGGGGAUCGCAAGACCUCGCGCCUGAAGAGGAGCCUGCGGCAGAUUAGCUUGUUGGUGAGGUAAUGGCUCACCAAGGCUGCGAUCUGUAGCUGGUCUGAGAGGACGGCCAGCCACACUGGCACUGACACACGGGCCAGACUCCUACGGGAGGCAGCAGUGGGGAAUUUUGGGCAAUGGGCGCAAGCCUGACGAAGCAACGCCGCGUGGAGGAUGAAGGCCUUCGGGUCGUAAACUCCUGUCGACCGGGAAGAAUGCGCCCGACCUAAUACGUCGAAGCGUUGACUGUACCGGUGGAGGAAGCCACGGCUAACUCCGUGCCAGCAGCCGCGGUAAUACGGAGGGGACUAGCGUUGUUCGGAAUUACUGGGCGUAAAGCGCACGUAGGCGGAUUUGUAAGUCAGGGGUGAAAUCCCGGGGCUCAACCUCGGAACUGCCUUUGAUACUGCAAAUCUCGAGUCCGGAAGAGGUGAGUGGAAUUCCUAGUGUAGAGG
Molecule: ribosomal RNA, 695 nt
Filed under: uncultured Acidobacteriota bacterium
Lineage: Bacteria; Pseudomonadati; Acidobacteriota
Description: bacterial SSU rRNA
Rfam family: Bacterial small subunit ribosomal RNA
Source: RNAcentral